RNAcentral lists this ribosomal RNA (406 nucleotides) under uncultured bacterium. Its description in RNAcentral is "bacterial SSU rRNA". It matches the Rfam family "Bacterial small subunit ribosomal RNA", at positions 28 to 417 of the family's 1533-position model. The record is from RNAcentral.
GACGAACGCUGGCGGCGUGCUUAACACAUGCAAGUCGAGCGGUAAGGCCCUUUCGGGGUACGACGAGCGGCGAACGGGUAGGAGUAACAACGUGGGUGGACCUCGCCCUCCAGCGUCUGGGAGUAAGACCGUCGGGAAGGACCGGGUCCGUAAUAACCGGAUAUGACUCCAUGACGCAUGUUGUGGGGUGGAAAGCCUUGUGCGGCUGAGGAUGGGCCCGGCCGGCCUAUCAGCUUGUUGGUGGGGUGAUGGCCUACCAAGGCGACGACGGUAGCCGGCCUGAGAGGGCGACCGGCCACACUGGGACUGAGACACGGCCCAGACUCCUACGGGAGGGCAGCAGUGGGGAAUCUUGCGCAAUGGGCGAAAGCCUGACGCAGCGACGCCGCGUGAGGGAUGACGGCCU